RNAcentral lists this ribosomal RNA (495 nucleotides) under Aspergillus niger. RNAcentral's name for it is "eukaryotic LSU rRNA". It matches the Rfam family "Eukaryotic large subunit ribosomal RNA", at positions 151 to 665 of the family's 3401-position model. Lineage: Eukaryota; Fungi; Ascomycota; Eurotiomycetes; Eurotiales; Aspergillaceae. The record is from RNAcentral.
GAGGAUGCUUUGGGUGCGGCCCCCGUCUAAGUGCCCUGGAACGGGCCGUCAGAGAGGGUGAGAAUCCCGUCUUGGGCGGGGUGUCCGUGCCCGUGUAAAGCUCCUUCGACGAGUCGAGUUGUUUGGGAAUGCAGCUCUAAAUGGGUGGUAAAUUUCAUCUAAAGCUAAAUACUGGCCGGAGACCGAUAGCGCACAAGUAGAGUGAUCGAAAGAUGAAAAGCACUUUGAAAAGAGAGUUAAACAGCACGUGAAAUUGUUGAAAGGGAAGCGCUUGCGACCAGACUCGCCCGCGGGGUUCAGCCGGCAUUCGUGCCGGUGUACUUCCCCGUGGGCGGGCCAGCGUCGGUUUGGGCGGCCGGUCAAAGGCCCCUGGAAUGUAGUACCCUCCGGGGUACCUUAUAGCCAGGGGUGCAAUGCGGCCAGCCUGGACCGAGGAACGCGCUUCGGCACGGACGCUGGCAUAAUGGUCGUAAACGACCCGUCUUGAACCACGGA